This 253-nucleotide ribosomal RNA is filed under the name uncultured bacterium. Its description in RNAcentral is "partial 16S ribosomal RNA". It matches the Rfam family "Bacterial small subunit ribosomal RNA", at positions 524 to 776 of the family's 1533-position model. The record is from RNAcentral.
UACGAAGGGUGCAAGCGUUACUCGGAAUUACUGGGCGUAAAGAGCGCGUAGGCGGUUCGUUAAGUGUAGAGUGAAAUCUCUGGGCUCACCCCAGAAACUGCUCUGCAUACUGGCAGGCUAGAGUGCGGUAGAGGGUAGUGGAAUUCCCGGUGUAGCGGUGAAAUGCGUAGAGAUCGGGAGGAACACCAGUGGCGAAGGCGGCUACCUGGACCAGCACUGACACUGAGGCACGAAAGCGUGGGGAGCAAACAGG